Cyprinus carpio (common carp) is the source of this 1140-nucleotide long non-coding RNA. RefSeq lists it as uncharacterized. NCBI's taxonomy places the organism in Eukaryota, Metazoa, Chordata, Actinopteri, Cypriniformes, Cyprinidae. The transcript has 4 exons. The record is from RefSeq and is a predicted model, not a curated record.
UUUUUUGCUGUACAAACAACCUUUUUUUUACAGUUACUUUUAAAUUUGCUGCCUAUUCUUGUAAAAGAUUAAGUGCGCUUUAAUGGUACUGAAUGUGCAUUUGUAGUGUAUUUCAAAGCUUAAAUGAAUAUUUUUUAAAAUUGUUCUGGCAGACAAUAUAAUAUUAAUGCAAUAAACGGGCACUUAAGUGUUAUUUAAAGAAUACACUUUCAUGACACACAAAUACAUUUUCUAAAAGUGCACUUUGUUUAAAUCAUGGUUUUAAUGAUCUUUUGUCAUGCUUUAAAGUACAACUAUAUACUAUAUAUAUAUAUAAACUUUAAAUUGCAACUUCGUCAUUAGAAAUGUAUUUAAAUGCAUGAUAUAAAUGCAUUGAAGUCCUCAGAUAUGUUAUGCUUGGGAUGAACACAAAACAGUUAAGCAAAAUCUACAAGACAUGUGGCUGUCACUUGGGAUGAAGGGAUAUGAAAAAUAAACCAGUGGAGACAAAUGUUUAAAACCCUACGUCAUUGAAGCAAUGGAGGUAGAGGCCAGACAGGCGUGGACAGAACCACAUGCUCCACUGACAUGACUGAAUAUGUUCAAUACAUGGUGAAGGAACACAAUCAGGAUUAUAAGGCAAGGGAUGAGAAAAAUUACUAUCAGGACACCCUAAAGCAGAUCAAAUGGAAAGUAGAAUUAUACAAACAGUGAUAUCCUGAUUGAAUAUGCUGCGUUCAUUGCGUCUCUGCAAUCUCAGAAGUCUAUGUGAUGUCACAGCGAAGAACUGGUGUCUCAAACUGAUUCAGAAUAUCACCUUAGUAUCUGUCACGUGUGUUGCAAAUGUGAGGAGUGUCAGUAGCAAUGCAAAAGUUAAACCAAGCAGUAUUCUGUUGGUCAAUGCUGCAAAUUCAUGUGGAAAAUUACAAUUCUGACUUAAAAUAUGCACACCAAAAUUUUUAUUUGAUGUUUAUGUUUAUAAACAUUAUGCUGAAAAUGCUGUUGAUAGAACUGAACCCAGAACUUUGAUUUAAGACACAAUAAUUACAGAGAUUUGUUCAUAUUUGCACUGCAGUAGUAGUGCUUCUGUAGAUGUUGUUGCUUCAUCACUGUUUCUUAGAAUUGUACAUGCUAAAUAAAAUGCGCAUGACUGGUUGUGAA